CAGUAGCCACGGUAAUACAGAGGGUGCGAGCGUUAAUCGGAUUUACUGGGCGUAAAGCGUGCGUAGGCGGCUUUUUAAGUCGGAUGUGAAAUCCCUGAGCUUAACUUAGGAAUUGCAUUCGAUACUGGGAAGCUAGAGUAUGGGAGAGGAUGGUAGAAUUCCAGGUGUAGCGGUGAAAUGCGUAGAGAUCUGGAGGAAUACCGAUGGCGAAGGCAGCCAUCUGGCCUAAUACUGACGCUGAGGUACGAAAGCAUGGGGAGCAAACAGGAUUAGAGACCCCCGUAGUCCCUGUCUCUUAUAC
Molecule: ribosomal RNA, 301 nt
Filed under: uncultured bacterium
Lineage: Bacteria
Description: partial 16S ribosomal RNA
Rfam family: Bacterial small subunit ribosomal RNA
Source: RNAcentral